GUCGGCGUGCUUAACACAUGCAAGUCGAACGGAAAGGCCCUGCUUUUGUGGGGUGCUCGAGUGGCGAACGGGUGAGUAACACGUGAGUAACCUGCCCUUGACUUUGGGAUAACUUCAGGAAACUGGGGCUAAUACCGGAUAGGAGCUCCUGCUGCAUGGUGGGGGUUGGAAAGUUUCGGCGGUUGGGGAUGGACUCGCGGCUUAUCAGCUUGUUGGUGGGGUAGUGGCUUACCAAGGCUUUGACGGGUAGCCGGCCUGAGAGGGUGACCGGCCACAUUGGGACUGAGAUACGGCCCAGACUCCUACGGGAGGCAGCAGUGGGGAAUAUUGCACAAUGGGCGGAAGCCUGAUGCAGCAACGCCGCGUGCGGGAUGACGGCCUUCGGGUUGUAAACCGCUUUCGCCUGUGACGAAGCGUGAGUGACGGUAAUGGGUAAAGAAGCACCGGCUAACUACGUGCCAGCAGCCGCGGUGAUACGUAGGGUGCGAGCGUUGUCCGGAUUUAUUGGGCGUAAAGGGCUCGUAGGUGGUUGAUCGCGUCGGAAGUGUAAUCUUGGGGCUUAACCCUGAGCGUGCUUUCGAUACGGGUUGACUUGAGGAAGGUAGGGGAGAAUGGAAUUCCUGGUGGAGCGGUGGAAUGCGCAGAUAUCAGGAGGAACACCAGUGGCGAAGGCGGUUCUCUGGGCCUUUCCUGACGCUGAGGAGCGAAAGCGUGGGGAGCGAACAGGCUUAGAUACCCUGGUAGUCCACGCUGUAAACGGUGGGUACUAGGUGUGGGGUCCAUUCCACGGGUUCCGUGCCGUAGCUAACGCUUUAAGUACCCCGCCUGGGGAGUACGGCCCGCAAGGCUAAAACUCAAAGGAAUUGACGGGGCCCCGCACAAGCGGCGGAGCAUGCGGAUUAAUUCGAUGCAACGCGUAGAACCUUACCUGGGUUUGACAUGGAUCGGGAGUGCUCAGAGAUGGGUGUGCCUCUUUUGGGGUCGGUUCACAGGUGGUGCAUGGCUGUCGUCAGCUCGUGUCGUGAGAUGUUGGGUUAAGUCCCGCAACAAGCGCAACCCUUGUUCACUGUUGCCAGCACGUUAUGGUGGGGACUCAGUGGAGACCGCCGGGGUCAACUCGGAGGAAGGUGGGGAUGACGUCAAGUCAUCAUGCCCCUUAUGUCCAGGGCUUCACGCAUGCUACAAUGGCUGGUACAGAGAGUGGCGAGCCUGUGAGGGUGAGCGAAUCUCGGAAAGCCGGUCUCAGUUCGGAUUGGGGUCUGCAACUCGACCUCAUGAAGUCGGAGUCGCUAGUAAUCGCAGAUCAGCAACGCUGCGGUGAAUACGUUCCCGGGGCUUGUACACACCGCCCGUCAAGUCAUGAAAGUUGGUAACACCCGAAGCCGGUGGCCUAACCGUUGUGGGGGAGCCGUCGAAGGUGGGACUGGUGA
RNAcentral lists this ribosomal RNA (1430 nucleotides) under uncultured organism. RNAcentral describes it as "partial small subunit ribosomal RNA". It matches the Rfam family "Bacterial small subunit ribosomal RNA". The record is from RNAcentral.